RNAcentral lists this ribosomal RNA (301 nucleotides) under uncultured bacterium. RNAcentral's name for it is "partial 16S ribosomal RNA". It matches the Rfam family "Bacterial small subunit ribosomal RNA", at positions 509 to 807 of the family's 1533-position model. The record is from RNAcentral.
CAGUAGCCGCGGUAAUACGGAGGGAGCUAGCGUUGUUCGGAAUUACUGGGCGUAAAGCGCACGUAGGCGGCUUUGUAAGUUAGAGGUGAAAGCCUGGAGCUCAACUCCAGAAUUGCCUUUAAGACUGCAUCGCUUGAAUCCAGGAGAGGUGAGUGGAAUUCCGAGUGUAGAGGUGAAAUUCGUAGAUAUUCGGAAGAACACCAGUGGCGAAGGCGGCUCACUGGACUGGUAUUGACGCUGAGGUGCGAAAGCGUGGGGAGCAAACAGGAUUAGAUACCCCCGUAGUCCCUGUCUCUUAUAC